This 227-nucleotide unclassified non-coding RNA is filed under the name uncultured Chloroflexota bacterium. RNAcentral's name for it is "uncultured Chloroflexi bacterium contains 16S-23S intergenic spacer region". The record is from RNAcentral. Lineage: Bacteria; Bacillati; Chloroflexota.
UCCGAUUUGUCACCUCAGUACCACGUGCAUGUCAAGCCGAGGUAAGGUUCUGCGCGUUGCAUCGAAUUAAACCACACGCUCCGCUGCUUGUGCGGGCCCCCGUCAAUUCCUUUGAGUUUUAGCCUUGCGGCCGUAGUCCCCAGGCGGUCGACUUAAUGCGUUAGCUGCGGCACCGGGAGGGUCGCUCCCCCCGACGCCUAGUGCCCAUCGUUUACGGCGUGGACUAC